This 765-nucleotide ribosomal RNA is filed under the name uncultured Streptococcus sp. RNAcentral describes it as "bacterial SSU rRNA". It matches the Rfam family "Bacterial small subunit ribosomal RNA", at positions 28 to 776 of the family's 1533-position model. Lineage: Bacteria; Bacillati; Bacillota; Bacilli; Lactobacillales; Streptococcaceae. The record is from RNAcentral.
GACGAACGCUGGCGGCGUGCCUAAUACAUGCAAGUAGAAUGCUGAAGAGAGGAGCUUGCUCUUCUUGGAUGAGUUGCGAACGGGUGAGUAACGCGUAGGUAACCUGCCUGGUAGCGGGGGAUAACUAUUGGAAACGAUAGCUAAUACCGCAUGAAAUUGCUUAUCGCAUGAUAAUUAAUUGAAAGAUGCAAUUGCAUCACUACCAGAUGGACCUGCGUUGUAUUAGCUAGUUGGUGAGGUAACGGCUCACCAAGGCGACGAUACAUAGCCGACCUGAGAGGGUGAUCGGCCACACUGGGACUGAGACACGGCCCAGACUCCUACGGGAGGCAGCAGUAGGGAAUCUUCGGCAAUGGGGGGAACCCUGACCGAGCAACGCCGCGUGAGUGAAGAAGGUUUUCGGAUCGUAAAGCUCUGUUGUAAGAGAAGAACGGGUGUGAGAGUGGAAAGUUCACACUGUGACGGUAUCUUACCAGAAAGGGACGGCUAACUACGUGCCAGCAGCCGCGGUAAUACGUAGGUCCCGAGCGUUGUCCGGAUUUAUUGGGCGUAAAGCGAGCGCAGGCGGUUAGAUAAGUCUGAAGUUAAAGGCUGUGGCUUAACCAUAGUAUGCUUUGGAAACUGUUUAACUUGAGUGCAGAAGGGGAGAGUGGAAUUCCAUGUGUAGCGGUGAAAUGCGUAGAUAUAUGGAGGAACACCGGUGGCGAAAGCGGCUCUCUGGUCUGUAACUGACGCUGAGGCUCGAAAGCGUGGGGAGCAAACAGG